AUAUAUUUGCACCAUUUUAUCCAACCAAUGCUCAAAUUACACUACUGAUACAGUAUAUAUCAUAAGGUAGAUAAGAAACUGAGGAAAAAAAAACCGGAAUUCAAUGCUUUGCAUAAUAAAAAACCCAGCCAGUUAUUGAAAAAAGAAGAAGAAAAGAUUAAUAAAUAAAUAACACUGAAUUAUCUUCCUCUAUAACUAUUAGACCAAUAAUUGGACUGGUAAACAAAAAACAUCAGCAUAGUUUGAUUCAACAGAAAAAUGAACAAAACCAUAAUAAAAACUCAUAGAUACCAUUUGUAAAAGGGCAGGACUUGAUAGGACCUCGUAGUCUGUAGUCAUUUGUAUCUUGGCACCUCCUCUCGAUUACAACUCUUUCUAAUUUCUAGAACAUCUAGAACCAUCCUGUAAUAACAAAAAAAGAGUCAUGAUUUACAGCUACAAACCCCAAACCAAAUCAGGCAUACCCACUGAAAGCUUAUCCCAUUUACUAAACUGAAAACUAAACCAUUGCAUACCAGUUGAAGGAUGGUCCCAGUUNNNNNNNNNNNNNNNNNNNNGUAAUAACAAAAAAAGAGUCAUGAUUUACAGCUACAAACCCCAAACCAAAUCAGGCAUACCCACUGAAAGCUUAUCCCAUUUACUAAACUGAAAACUAAACCAUUGCAUACCAGUUGAAGGAUGGUCCCAGUUGUUAAUCUGGAGUGUGCUUUUGCAGAGGUUGCCGAAAAACAAUCCAAUGUUGCUCAAGAAUGCAUUUAGAAAGCUCUUCCUUUCAAAUGUGAAGAAUCCAACAGUAGGAGACCUUGAGAAAGAGUCACCAUAACAGUCAUUAAUUUCACAAAAUUCAUUCAUACUUGGUGAAAAUCAAGACUCAGUAUAGGUUUAAAAGUAUAAUAAAGGUCAAUCUCUUUUGAUUACGGGGAUAUACCAACGAAACAAGUUACAACCAAACAAUAGCUCAGAUUUAUCAAACAUGCAAACAAAGCAACCAUAAUUCAUGUUUAUUAUUCUCAAAACAUCAGACAGUCCACACAAACAAGAACACAGAAAAAGAAAACUUUGGUUUACCAGCUAAGGAAACACAAUCAACUCUCCGAUAAGCCUCAACUAUCAACCUUACAUCAACUAUCAGAAACCCAAACCCACAGUCGAUCAACAAUUCCACACAAAAUCCUCAUCCAAUAAUCACAAUCAAAGCUAGAUCAUCAACCAAAACCAUAAAAAACCUAGUCUAGUGCACUUCAAAAAUCCAAAGCUAGGAAGUCGCGCCGAUGAUGCCAGAAACGAUGAUCAAUACUACGAUCUGAUGAGUGCGUGGGUUGAAUCGAAACGACUAGGCUUAGAGUUCUGAGGCUACGGUUUUUGAAAUUGGGGGAAAUUGAUCAAUUGAAUUGAAAUCUAGAGAGAAUUAAAGCAGAAGCAAAGACUAAGCUAGAUUCACAGAAGCCACAUACUUGAACCCAGAUGUGUUGAUCCAAACUUGAAUCAACGCCUAAAGAAAUAAGAGUGGUAAGAGUAAUACCUGAAAUCCCGGAGAUUCGCCGAUCCAAACUUGUAUUCAGCUUACGGAGUUGUGUUGCUGGGUUUCAACCCUCAACCUGAUACAGACUCUUUUCUCUCGCCUCACCUCUCAUUUGAUCUCAUAUUGUGCCUCUAAACCCUCACGCUCUCAUCUCCUUAUUUCCCCUCGUUUCUGCGUCCUUUUACCACGGAAUUGACUACCCUGCCCCUCAGUCACUUUUUCGAUUUUUUAUCUGGCUUGACGGUCGGCUUGGACGGUGACGGUCGGCUCGAUUACUCCCGGUGUAUUCUAGCCCACUCCUUGGGAUUCUUGUGGUUGUUCUUCAUUACUCUAGUCUAAUCUGUGAACUUACAAGCUUCAGUGAGUCCGGCCAAGUUAUAUUUACCUUGUAGCCUAAGGCAUGAUUGCAUGAACCUUCUUUUCUCUAGCUGUUCUUCCUCUGUCUCUGUUUCUGAAUGGGGUGGCUCUUGUGUUACCUAGUAACACUGCUUUUAUCUCAUAUCCUGUCAUUAUGUACCUGCCAAGACAAAUUAGUACCAGGACAGUGUAUCACUGGUAAUCAAACUUUGGUUUCUUCCCUUGGGACAUUUUCAUUAGGCUUCUUCAAUCCUGAGAAUUCUACCAAAUACUUCCUUGGUAUACGAUUCAACACUUCCCCAGAUACUGCAUUGGUAUGGAUUGCUAACAGAGAAUCUCCGCUCGAUGCUCCGGGUUUCUUUAUGCUCAGCAGAGAUGGAAACCUUGUGGUGUUGGAUGAUAAUAGAAACCUUGUGAAGGUAUAGGGUUGUUGGCAAUCCUUAUAUAGAACAAAACACAAUCUAUGAAGCAUAAAGCAAUUGGGAGAUUGGUCUUGCACAUCUGAAGAACAAGUUGAAGAAGUAGAAGAACCAACAUGAUCUCAUGGAACUCAGGUAAAAUCAUGCAUGUGCAUUUCAAGAUUUUUCACAGAGGAUAGCAGUAUCACUUGCCAUCCUAAAAAUCUGGGUUUCCAGCUUUUUUGAUCUUUUGUUCAGUUGUCUUAUAUUUAAGUUUCUUUACCCUUGUUCCAUAAGAACUAUGUCUGGGUGAGAUCCUCAUUUGAAUUUCAAAUUGACAACUAAGAUAAAAGACAUGCCUUGGUGCUUAAAUUAGUCUUGGGUUUGAUGCCUUUAUCUCAACCUGUGACCAAUGUUUUAGCUUUUAGGCUUCAGCUGUGGUUUGCUGUGUUUGUGAUACACAAACCAAUAUUUGCAGCUAUCUUUGUUUGAUAUCAGAGAAAAGUGGUUUGCUAAACCAUUAUGGUANNNNNNNNNNNNNNNNNNNNNNNNNNNNNNNNNNNNNNNNNNNNNNNNNNNNNNNNNNNNNNNNNNNNNNNNNNNNNNNNNNNNNNNNNNNNNNNNNNNNNNNNNNNNNNNNNNNNNNNNNNNNNNNNNNNNNNNNNNNNNNNNNNNNNNNNNNNNNNNNNNNNNNNNNNNNNNNNNNNNNNNNNNNNNNNNNNNNNNNNNNNNNNNNNNNNNNNNNNNNNNNNNNNNNNNNNNNNNNNNNNNNNNNNNNNNNNNNNNNNNNNNNNNNNNNNNNNNNNNNNNNNNNNNNNNNNNNNNNNNNNNNNNNNNNNNNNNNNNNNNNNNNNNNNNNNNNNNNNNNNNNNNNNNNNNNNNNNNNNNNNNNNNNNNNNNNNNNNNNNNNNNNNNNNNNNNNNNNNNNNNNNNNNNNNNNNNNNNNNNNNNNNNNNNNNNNNNNNNNNNNNNNNNNNNNNNNNNNNNNNNNNNNNNNNNNNNNNNNNNNNNNNNNNNNNNNNNNNNNNNNNNNNNNNNNNNNNNNNNNNNNNNNNNNNNNNNNNNNNNNNNNNNNNNNNNNNNNNNNNNNNNNNNNNNNNNNNNNNNNNNNNNNNNNNNNNNNNNNNNNNNNNNNNNNNNNNNNNNNNNNNNNNNNNNNNNNNNNNNNNNNNNNNNNNNNNNNNNNNNNNNNNNNNNNNNNNNNNNNNNNNNNNNNNNNNNNNNNNNNNNNNNNNNNNNNNNNNNNNNNNNNNNNNNNNNNNNNNNNNNNNNNNNNNNNNNNNNNNNNNNNNNNNNNNNNNNNNNNNNCUGGAUAGCUAUAACCCUUGCUAUCCCUGAGAACGAAUUUAUACGAAAAAAAGUUAAUGGCCUAUUCAACCCCCCCCCCCCCCCCCCCCCUCCCUAGGACCUUUACUUUGUGUGGUCAACUAAUGCUUCAAUAUCUGCUUCUGCAAUGAAUCAUACAACUGGAUUACUAGCGGAUACCGGAAACCUUGUUCUUAGCUUUGGAGAAGGCACCUUGUGGCAGAGCUUCGAUUACCCCUCUGAUACUAUGUUGCCCGGCAUGAAGAUUACCUUGAAUAAAACGACUGGCCAACAAAGGCGCCUUACAUCUUGGGCAGCGCUUUAUGAUCCACACCCCGGAAAGUUCACCUUCGGCAUUGAUCCUAAAGUACCACUUCAGCUCUUUAUCUGGAAGGAAACUUCUCCGUAUUAUAGAAGUUCUGUGUUCGUUGGCAAUUUUCCUGAUAUAGGUGGAUCGCCAUUUUUCGUUUCUUACAACUUGGAUAUUGAUGAGGCUUAUGUUGUUUACAGUGUCUCAGAUAGCUCAGUAAAACUGAGGGUCUGGUUGAGUCCUGCAGGGCAAUUUAAACAGCUGCUGUGGCAGGAUUCUAGUAAAACGUGGUUGGAAAUGGGGAGUUCACCUGGUGAUAACUGUGAUUUUUAUGCUUAUUGCGGUCCCAAUAGCGCCUGUCGUAGAGGUGAUUCCCUGUCGUCAUCACCAUGCAAGUGUUUGACUGGUUUUAAAGCCAAGUUUCCGAAACAAUCGGCGGUGGGAGAUUGGUCCGGUGGCUGCGUUAGAGAAAAGGCGUUGACAUGUGGUAACGGCAUUCAAGGCAACCUUUCAAAGCUUGAAAACGUGAAACUGCCGGAUCAUUCUGUUUUAUUACAGAAUAAGACUCUGAGUGAGUGUGUCUCUGAAUGUCGGAAGAACUGUUCUUGCAGGGCUUAUGCCUAUGUAAAUGGGACAGAUGGAAGUAAUAUUUUGAAAUGUUUUGCAUGGUUUGGCGAAUUACUGGAUCUAGUAGAGAAUAAUACUAUUGGGUGUAAAUGAUAUUUAUAUUCGUGUUCCUGGCUCCGAACUAGGUAUAUAUUUCGUUUUUUUGCUAAUUUCUUAUGAAUUUCUGAAGUACAAUCCUUGACAUAGUGAUACGUUGAAAUUGAACUCAUUGGCCAGAAGCUCACCAUUACUUGGAGCUAUCUUUACUAAUAACUAACCACCAGAUCUUUGUUUGUUUUCUAGGCAAAAAUGGUCAUUCUGCUAAUUCCUUGAACCGGACCCUUGUGAUUGCAGUAGUCUCUGCAGCAGUUGGAUUGCUUGCAAUAACUUUUGGCUAUUUCUUAUGGAAGAACAAAUUGGGUACGCACUCCUCGUCUCCUCGAUCCCUUAUGUGCAGGCACAUGGAUUCUAGUAAUCACUUACAAAUAAUAUUCUAACAAUAAUACUGAAACAGGGAGGAUAGCAAUAAGAGCGAGUGAGAAUAUAAGUAAGGUUGGUGCAGCAGGUGGGAAGAAUGAUACAGAACUACCACUCUUCAGUUUAAGGAGUAUAUUAGCUGCUACAAACAACUUUUCUGAAGAUAAUAAACUUGGAGAGGGAGGAUUUGGCCCUGUUUAUAAGGUGACGUUUACAUAAUAUGGUCUUGAUGUAGGACUGCAAGUACAUUCUUCUUCAUUUUGGUAAUUUCCCAUGUUAGUUCUAGAUUACUUAAUUUUGGGGUUAACGUUUGGUUCUCUUUGCUACUAUAGGGAAUUAUGCUGGAAAAUCAAGAAGUGGCCGUAAAGAGGCUAUCAAAGAAGUCUGGGCAAGGGCAUCAUGAGUUCAUGAAUGAGUUGAAACUUAUAGCCAAACUCCAGCAUACCAAUCUUGCUCGUCUCUUGGGAUGCUGUAUGGAUGAAGAUGAACUCAUAUUGGUCUAUGAAUACAUGCCUAAUCGAAGUUUGGACAAAUAUUUGUUUGGUAUGUAUGCUUAUAACUUUGAAGAUUAAACUUUUGACAAUGUGACAUCAAGUCUGAAUCCUUUUUACCUAUCUGUACAACUUUUGGUACGUAAUAUGAUUCAACAUGCAGAAUUAGAGUGAUGUUGAAUUGCUGCAUCACAUACCAAAAGUUGUACAAGGUAGGGAAGAUAAAAAAAAAAUAAAAAAAUAAAAAAAAAAAUCUUAACAUGCAAAUUAAAUUUCUUUAUUCUAAUCUGUCCAACUAGAUCCCUUUGAAAAGACAAAAUUGGACUGGGAUACUCGCUUUCGAAUUAUACAAGGCAUUGCUCAAGGAGUACUAUAUAUCCACAAAUACUCUAGAUUGAAAAUCAUCCACAGAGAUCUAAAAGCAAGUAAUGUUCUGUUGGAUGGAGCAAUGAAUCCCAAAGUGUCUGACUUUGGAAUGGCGAGGAUUUUUGAUACAAAUCAAAUUGAAGCAAACACCAACAAGGUUGUUGGAACAUAGUAAGUCUAUAUAGUCAGUGACUUGUAUCACUGAAAUAUUUAACAUCACUACUGAUACUCAUUCUUUUACUAUUCUUGCAGCGGCUACAUGUCACCUGAAUAUGCACUAUAUGGUCAUUUUUCUGAGAAAUUGGAUGUAUUUAGUUUCAGAGUAUUGUUGUUAGAGAUUGUGAGUGGAAAGAAGAAUGUUUUGUUUUAUUAUUGUGAAAAUUCAGUAACGCUUGCUCAUUGGGUAAGUUAAUAGACUUGGGAAGUUCAUAUUGUUUCUAUAGUUUUGAAGCCUUUGCAUAUCAGUUCGGACAUUCUAAACAUAAAGUAUGCAAAAGGAAGACUUAUUGUAUUACAUGUGUAAAUCUCAGAUAUGGGAAUUAUGGAAAGAAGGUAGAGGAAUGGAGGUAAUUGACACAUCAGUGAGGGAAACAUGCCGGAUUCAUGAAGCUUUGAGGUGCAUCCAUGUCGGGCUUUUGUGUGUUCAAGAAGCUCCAGUUGAUCGACCAACAAUGUCAUUAGUGAUUCAUAUGCUGGAGGCUGAAGAAGCUACAUCACUCCCGCCCUCCAAAGAACCUGCUUUCUCGACAAGUAGGAUUUCAAGUCCUGUUACCACUUAUUCCAAAAAUGUAGUAACUAUUACUUUGCCGGAACCUUGAUAGAGCUUCAAUAUUAGUGUUAGCUUUCAAAGUCGGACCAUUAAAAAAAGGGGUAAAAAAGAAGGUAUCAUUAUAGAUCUCAUGCUUCAUUAGGCCUCAUCAUUUGUAUGUCGACAACUCCUAUUUUGUAUUCUGCUUGUGGCAAAAACUGUUUGAUUAAUUGCAGCUGUUACAAGUUAAACGGUAAACUUCCUUCUCAAGAUAUCCAUAUGGAUGAAAGACUAAUGUGUCGUCUUGUUGAAUGACUUUAAAAUCAAGGAAAUUAAAACUGAAUUCUCUUGGUUGAAAACGUGAAUCUUUAACAAUGAAUGGAGAAAGGUUUGUCCGCAAGCCAUAUAUCCUGUCAUUCAACAACGACUCGUUAUAGUCGUGGAGGCGUAGACAACUAAUCAACUAUCUCCUCUAUCUUUUCAUGUAAGUUCGUUCUUGCUUUCCCACUGAUUCAUAGGUAUUACUUAAUUUUGGGUCUAGUCUGUUCCUGAGUUUCAUUCUUUUCUGGAAUUUUUGUGUCUGUUCUUCAUUUUCUGGGUAGUUGUACUUACUAGUGGUCGAUAUACUCUCUAGUCCAAUCUGUGAACUUACAAAGUUACACUAGCUUCAGCGAGUCCAAGGCAUGAACCUUUUUUUUCGCAACUCCUUCUCUCUGUGUUUCUGAAUGGGGUGGCUCUUGUGUUACCAAGUAACACUACUCUUAUCUUAUAUCCUGUCAUUCUGUACCUGCCAAGACAAAAUAGUACCAGGACAGAACAUUACCGGGAACCAUACUUUGGAAUCUUGCCUUGGGAACUUUUCAUUAGGCUUCUUCAAUCCUGAAAAUUCAACCAAAUACUUCCUUGGUAUACGAUUCAACACAUACCCAAAAACUGCACUAGUAUGGAUUGCUAACAGAGAAUCUCCGCUUGACUCUCCAGGUUUGUUUAUGCUCAACAGCGAUGGAAACCUUGUGGUGUUGGAUGAUACUAGAAACCUUAUUGUCUGGUCAACUAAUGCUUCAAUAUCUGCUUCUGCAAUGAAUCACACAACUGGACUACUAGAGGAUUCCGGAAACCUUGUUCUGAGCUUUGGAGAAGUCACUCUUUGGCAGAGCUUCGAUCAUCCCUCUGAUACUUGGUUGCCAGACAUGAAGCUUAGCUUGAACAAAAAGACUGGCCAACGAAGGCGCCUUACAUCCUGGGCAGCGCUUGAUGAUCCACAACCCGGAAAAUUCACGCUCGGCAUUGAUCCUCAAGUACCACUUCAGGCCUUUAUCUGGAAGGAAACUCUUCCGUAUAGUAGAAGUACUGUGUACGUUGGCAAGGAUACAAGAACAGAGUAUCCAGAUGUAGGUGGAUCAGCGCUUCUCCUUUCUUACGACUUUGAUGCUGAUGAGGUUUAUAUUGUUGUAACGGUCUCGGAUAGGUCAGUUAAAUUCAGGACGUGGAUGAGUGCUGCAGGGCAACUUCAACAGCUGCUGUGGCAGGAUUCUACAAAAACGUGGUUGGAACUGGGGAAUCCUGUUCAUAACUGUUAUUUUUAUGCUCAUUGUGGUCCCAAUAGUGUCUGUCGUAACGAUGAAUCCCUGUCGUCAUCACCAUGCAAGUGUUUGACAGGGUUUAAAGCCAAGUUUCCAAACCAAUUGGCGGUGGGGGAUUGGUCCGGUGGCUGUGUUAGGGAAAAGGUGUUUACAUGUAGUAACGACAUACAAGGCAACUUUUCGAAGCUUGAAAACGUGAAACUGCCGGAUUAUACUGUUCUGUUAAACAAUAAGAGUAUGAGCGAGUGUAAGUCUGAAUGUCAGCAGAACUGUUCUUGCACAGCUUAUGCUUAUGUAAAUGGAACGGAUGAAAGUACUGGGAAAUGUUUGGCAUGGUUUGGCGACUUACUGGAUAUAGUAGAGAAUCUCCAUGUUGAUGCACAUGAUGUCUAUAUUCGUGUUUACGGUUCUGAAUCAGGUAUAUAGUUUGUUUCUUUUUUUUCUUGCUAUUUUCUUUAUGGAUGCGUGAAGUAAAAUCCUUGGCAUACUGUUAAGUUGAGAUUAAACUCAUGCAUUGGCCAAAACUUGGAGCUAUCAUCUUUAAGAUCAAUUUGUUUUGUAGGCAAAAAUGAUCAUUCUGCUAAUUCCUUGAAGCGGACCCUUGUAAUUGCAAUAGUCUCUGCAGCAGUUGGACUUCUUACAAUAACUUUUGGCUAUUUCUUAUGGAAGAACAAACUGGGUACGCACUCCUCGAUCCCUUAUGUGCAGGCACAUGGAUUCUUGUAAUCACUUACAAAUAAUCUUCUAACAGUAAUACUGAAACAGGGAGGAUAGCUAGAAGAGUGAGUGAGAAUAUAAGUAAGGUUCGUGCAGGAGGUGGGAAGAAUGAUACAGAACUACCACUCUUCAGUUUGAGGAGUAUAUUAGCUGCUACAAACAACUUCUCUGAAGGAAAUAAACUUGGAGAGGGAGGAUUUGGCCCUGUUUAUAAGGUGACGCUUCUUUAAUAUGAUCUUCAUGCAAGUACAUUAUUCUUCAUUUUGAUACUUUCCCUUGUUAAUUCCAAAUUAUUUAAUUUUUUGAAAAGUCCAAAUUAUUUAAUUUUGAGGGUAAGGUUUGGUUCUUUUUGCCACUACAGGGAAUUUUGGCGGAAAAUAAAGAAGUGGCCGUAAAGAGGUUAUCAAAGAAGUCCGGGCAAGGACAUCAUGAGUUCAUGAAUGAGUUGGAGCUUAUAGCCAAACUCCAGCACACCAACCUUGCUCGGCUCCUGGGUUACUGUACGGAAGAAGAUGAACUGAUAUUGAUCUACGAGUACUUGCCUAAUCGAAGUUUGGACAAAUUUCUGUUUGGUAAGUAUGCUUAUGACUAUGAAGAUUACACUUUUGACAAUGUGACAUUAAAUAUGCAUUAUUUUUCCUAUCCUAUGUACAACUUUACGUCUGUAACGCAGUUCAACAUUAUGCUAAUUCUGCUUCAUCCUUAGAUCAUUUUGAAAAGACAAAGUUGGACUGGGCUACACGCUUUCAGAUUAUAAAAGGCAUUGCUCAAGGAGUACUAUAUAUCCACAAAUACUCUAGGUUGAAAAUCAUACAUAGAGAUCUAAAAGCAAGUAAUGUUCUGUUGGAUGGAACAAUGAAUCCCAAAGUGUCUGACUUUGGAAUGGCAAGGAUUUUUGAUAUAAAUCAAAUUGAAGCAAGUACCAACAAGGUUGUUGGGACAUAGUAAGUAUAUAUUACCCCUAAUUUCUAUCAUUUAGACUUUUACAAUGAAUAUUGAAGUUCAUUCUCUACCAUUCUUGCAGCGGUUACAUGUCACCAGAAUAUGCCUUGUAUGGUCAUUUCUCUGAGAAAUUGGAUGUAUAUAGUUUCGGGAUAUUGUUGUUAGAGAUUGUAAGUGGAAAUAAGAAUGCUUCCUUUUAUCAUUGUGAAAAUUCACAAACGCUUGCUCAAUGGGUAAGUUAAUGAACUUGGGAAGUUCUUAUUGUAUCAUGUGUUAUUAGGUCUUGCCUUUUAAUUAUGCAUAUUUACACACAAGUGCAUCGGAAAGCAAGAGUAAGAUUAAUGGUUUAAUAUGUGUAAAUCUCAGAUAUGGGAAUUAUGGAAAGAAGGUAGAGGAAUGGAGGUAAUUGACGCAUCAGUAAGGGAGACUUGCCGGAUUCAUGAAGCUUUGAGGUGCAUCCAUGUCGGGCUUUUGUGUGUUCAAGAAGCUCCAGCUGAUCGACCAACAAUGUCAUCGGUGAUUCAUAUGCUAGAGGUUAAUGAAGCUACAUCACUUCCUCCCUCAAAAGAACCUGCUUUUUCAACAAGUUUUAAUUCAAGUUCUGUUACCCCUUAUUCUGAAAAUAUAGUCACUAUUACUUUGCCAGAACCUCGAUAGAGCUUCAAUAUUAGUGUUAGCUUUCAAAGUCGGAUCAUUAAGAAAAAGGAACAAAAAAGGGUGUUAUAUAUUGAUAUGUUGAUACUAGUUGCAGUUUCAUUGGGGUUUUGUAAUCCUUAUUAUCUCUACCCCGGAAUGUGAUGAUGAACUAUGCUCGAUAUUUUUCAUUGUCAGAAUCAAAAUUAACCAAAACAAUGUUACAAAGUACACCAUGAUCUUGGAUAAUUUCAAGGGUAACGUGUGGUAUGCGUUAUUCCGCAUGCCUUUGUGGACUAAUAAGGCCUCACGACUCGUUAGUCUUGGAGGCUUGGACAAUUAUCUCCUCUAUCUUAGUUUCAUUAUUUUCUGGGAUUUUUGUGGCUGUUCUUCAUUUUCUGGGUUGUUCUACUCUCAAGAGUCUAUAUGUGACCUUACACUAGCUUCAGUGAGUCCAAAUUAUGGCAUGAACUUUUUUCCCUAUCUCUUAUUCCUCUGUCUCUCUGUUUCUGAAUGGGGUGGCUCUUGUGUUACCUAGUAACACUGCUCUUAUCUCAUAUCCUGUCAUUAUGUACCCCCAAGACAAAUUAGUACCAGGACAGUAUAUCACUGGGAAUCAAACGUUGGUUUCUUCCCUUGGGACUUUUUCAUUAGGCUUCUUCAAUCCUGAAAAUUCUACCAACUACUUCCUUGGUAUACGAUUCAACACAUUCCAAGAUACUGCACCAGUAUGGAUUGCUAACAGAAAAUCUCCGCUUGAUUCUCCGGGUUUGUUUACGCUCAGCAGAGAUGGAAACCUUAUAGUGUUGGAUGAUGCUAGAAACCAUGUCUGGUCGACUAAUGCAUCAAUAUCUGCUUCUGCAAUGAAUCACACAACUGGACAACUAGCUGAUACCGGAAAACUCGUUCUGAGCUUUGAAGAAGUCACCUUGUGGCAGAGCUUCGAUCAUCCCUCUGGUACUAUGUUACCCGGCAUUAAGCUUAGCUUGAACAAAAAGACUGGCCAACGAAGUCGCCUUACAUCCUGGGCAGCGCUUGAUGAUCCACAACUUGGAAACUACACCUUUGGCAUUGAUCCUCAAGUACCACUUCAGGGUUUUAUUUGGAAGGAAACUCUUCCGUAUAUUAGAAGUCCUGUGUUCGCUGGCAAGGUUACAAGGAUAGUCUUUCAAGAUCCAGGUGGAACUGCGAUUUUCUUUUCAUACAACUCUGAUGCUGAUGAGGUUUAUUGUGUUUACAGUGUCUCGGAUAGCUCAGUAAAAUUCAGGGCCUGGUUGAGUCCUACAGGGCAACUUAAACAGCUACUGUGGCAGGGUUAAAACUUGGUUGGAAGUGGAGACUUUACCUUCUGAAAACUGUGAUUUUUAUGCUCGCUGCCGUCAUAAUAGUGUUUGUAGUAGAGAUGAUUCCCUGCUGUCGUCAUCACCAUGCAAGUGCUUGACUGGUUUUAAAACCAAGUUCCCCAACCAAUCGUCGGUGGGGGAUUGGUCCGGUGGUUGCAUUAGGGAAAAGGUGUUGGCAUGUGGUAAUGGCAUACAGGGUAACUUUUCAAGGCUUCAAAACGUGAAACUGCCGGAUCAUUCUGUUCAGUUAACAGUAUGAGCGAGUGUGAAUCAGAAUGUGGGCGGAACUGUUCUUGCACAGCUUAUGCUUAUGUAAAUGGGACAGAUGGAAGUACUGGGAAAUGUUUGGCAUGGUUAAUUUGGCGAAUUACUAGAUCUAGUAGAGACUAAAAUUGUUGCAGCAAAUGUAAAUGAUAUUCAUAUUCGUGUUCAUGGCUCCGAAUUAGGUAUAUAUUUUGUUUUUUGUUUUUAUUCUGUUUGUUGCUAUUUUCUUUAUGGAUGUGUGAAGUAAAAUUCUUGGCAUACUAUUAAGUAAAAUUUCUUGGCAUAUUGUUAAGUUUGAGAUUAAAAUCAUUGGCAAGAACUUAGAGCUAUCUUUAUUAAUAUUUAAUAGUUAAACAUCAGAUCUUUGUCUGUUUUGGUAGGCAGUAAGGGUCUUUCUGUUAAUUCCUUGAAGAGGACCCUUGUAAUUGCAAUAGUCUCUGCAGCAGUUGGAUUGCUUACAAUAACUUUUGGCUAUUUCUUAGGGAAGAAAAAAUUAGGUACGCAGUCCUCGAUCCCAUAUGUGCAGGCACAUGGAUUCUGUAAUCUGUAAGAAUAAUAUUCUAACAUUAAUACUGAAACAGGGAGGAUAGCUAGAAGAGUGAGUGCGAAUAUAAGUAAGGUCAGUGCAGGUGGCGGGAAGAAUGAUACAGAACUACCACUCUUCAGUUUACGGAGUAUAUUAGCUGCUACAAACAACUUCUGUGAAGACGAUAAACUUGGAGAGGGAGGAUUCGGCCCUGUUUAUAAGGUGACGCUUCUAUAAUAUGCUUUCAAUCCAAGUGCAUUCUUCUUUAUUUUGGUACUUUCCCUUGUUAGUUCCAAAUUAGUUGAUUUUGAGGUUAAGGUUUUGUUCUCUUUGCCACUGCAUACAGGGAAUUUUGCCGGAAAAUCAAGAAGUGGCCAUAAAGAGGCUAUCAAAGAAGUCUGGGCAAGGACAUCAUGAGUUCCUGAAUGAGUUGAAACUUAUAGCCAAACUCCAGCAUACCAACCUUGCUCAUCUCUUGGGUUGCUGUAUGGAAGAAGAUGAACUCAUACUGAUAUAUGAGUUCAUGCCUAAUCGAAGUCUGGACAAAUUUUUUUCCUUUCUGUAUUUUUUUCCUUUCUGUUCUUAUGGAGGUUUUGGUCCCUGGCCUCCUCUCUCUGUACUCUCUUUUUUUCCUUCAUUAUUAAAUAAAAAUAGAGGGGUUUUCCCCUUUUAAUCAAAAAAAAAAUAUUCAUAUUAAAAAAAUAAAAAAUAAAAGUCUGGACAAAUUUUUGUUUGGUAAGUAUGCUUAGGACUUCGAAGGUUAGACUUUUGACAAUGUGACAUCAAGUUUCAAUAUUUUUCUCUAUCCUGUAAAACUUUUGCUAUGUAAUGCAAUUCAACAUGCUUCUAAGUUCUAAUUAUGCUUCUGCCAUAUGAUUUGUCCAAUUAGAUCCUUCUGAAAAGACAAAGUUGGACUGGGGUAUCGAAUUAUACAUGGUGUUGCUCAAGGAGUACUAUAUAUCCACAAAUACUCUAGAUUGAAAAUUAUCCAUAGAGAUCUAAAAGCAAGUAAUGUGCUAUUGGAUGGAGCAAUGAAUCCCAAAGUGUCUGACUUUGGAAUGGCGAGGAUAUUUGAUAUAAAUCAAAUUGAAGCAAAUACCAACAAGGUUGUUGGGACAUAGUAAGUCUAUAUAGCCAGUAACUGAUAUCACUGAAGUAUUUAACAUCACUCCUGAUACUCAUUCUUGUACUAUUCUUGCAGCGGCUACAUGUGACCUGAAUAUGCACUAUAUGGUCAUUUUUCUGAGAAAUUGGAUGUGUUUAGUUUUGGAGUGCUAUUGUUAGAGAUAGUAAGCAGAAAGAGGAAUGCUUCGUUUUAUUCUUGCGAAAAUUCACUAACGCUAGCUCAAUAGCUAAGUUAAUAAACUUGGAAAGUUCUUACUGUGUUUCGAGUGUUUUGAAGCCUUGCAUAUCAGUUAGGACAAUUUUUAACAUAAGGUGAAUCGGGAUGCAAGAGGAUUACUAAUUGUAUUAUAUGUGUAAAUAUCAGAUAUGGCAAUUAUGGAAAGAAGGUAGAGAAAUGGAAGUAAUUGACGCAUCAGUAAGGGAAACUUGCCGGAUUCAUGAAGUUUUGAGGUGCAUCCAUGUCGGGCUUUUGUGUGUUCAAGAAGCUCCAACUAAUCGGCCAACAAUGUCAUCGGUGAUUCAUAUGCUAGAGGUUGAUGAAGCUACAUCAUCACUUCCACCCUCAAAAGAACCUGCUUUUUCAACAAGUUGGAAUUCAAAAUCUGUUACUAAUUCUUCUAAAAAUGUAGUCACUAUUACUUUGCCAGAACCUCGAUAGAGGUUCAACUUUAAUGUUAGCUUUCAAAGUCGAAUCUAUAAACAAAAAAAAAAAAAAAUAGAAGGUAUUGUUAUGAUAUGAUCAUACCAGUUGCAUAUCUCAUGCUUCAUCGAUCGGGCAGCAUAAUUUGUAUGUCCGAAUUUCCUAUGUUGUAUUCUGCUCAGUUGCAUAUCUCAUGCUUCAUCGAUCGGGCAGAAACUGUUUGGUAAAAAACCAGAGCAGCCCUGCAAUCCGGAUAGGAGGAGAGUGGCCUCUCGAUAACCACUGGCCGAAAUCUUGAUCUAGCAAAGGCGGCAAUGGUCGCGGAUCGGGUUCGCCAGGUACUCGGGUUGUGUCACUGUCAGCGGGGAACCCUACACGCUCGGGGCUCUCAUCAAGUCCAAUCACGGUCAAGGCAACUAGUUUACUUCCCAUGCUUAGGUGGUAAGGUUUAUUUCCCAUGCUUGAGGCUCAUUCUGGCAAAAAUUAGGUGGCAAAAAUGGUUUCGUUUGCAAGUGUUUGCCUGGUUUUAAGCCUAGUUCACUGGACAAUUGGAAUCAUGGAGAUUAUUCAGGUGGAUGCACUAGGACGUCAACAUUACGUAGCAACAAUGCUGAGAGUGACACAUUCUUGAGCUUAAAGAUGAUGAAAGUGUGAAAUCCAGAUUCCCAAUUCAAUGCCAAAAGUGAGGUGGAAUGCAAAGUAGAGUGCCUUAACAACUGUGAUUGUAAAGCUUAUUUCUAUGAAGAGGUGGAGAACAGAAAAUCUGGUGGGAGUAGUAGUUCAACAUGUUGGAUCUGGUCACAAGACGUCACCAAUCUUCAGGAGGACUAUGAAGGUGGCCGAGAUCUACAGGUUCGUGUAGCAGUUUCAGAUAUUGGUAUGUUUCUUUUUUCUUUAACUAAAGAUGCUCGAGUCAUGGCAAUACUAAAGUAUCAUGAGAUUUGUUGAAGAUAAUUAGUUUUAUAAUUACUGAAUAAGUAAACUGGUUUAUCUAGUAAAAGUCUACAUAUUCUUUUCUGUUCAAUGCAAUGAUUUGUGAAUCAGAGGGUGAUGUGCAUAUCAGUAGUCUUAAACAGUAUCAAUAAAAUAUAGGCCACCCUGUAAGCAUUAAUCUACUCUAAAUUGAGCUCCAACCUUGUCUAAACUAAUUAGCUAAUAAUCACAAUAUUGAGCUACUCUGGCUUUUCUGAUUACAUGUAGUUGUAGCUCAUUCAGAUGACUAAUGAACCUAUUACAUACUAUUGUUGAUCGAUUGUCAUCCUUUUUUACACGACCUUUGUUAGAGAAUUGCUUAGGCCAGAACCUUUGUUCUUUAGUGUUAAAAUUUCCAGAAUCAUGUUUUCUCAGAAUCAACAGCAAGAAGCUGUGGAAGUUGUGGCACAAACCUGAUCCUUUAUCCCUUGAGCACUGGACCAAAGUGUGGUGAUCUUACUUACUAUAUAGUUUUUUCUGCAAUAUCUCAACUGGCCAGUUGAGCUUUGAAACACCAAGCAGCACCUACCAUGUCACAAGCAUCGAUGCGGACACACAAACAUUUGUCAUCCAAGCUGAUGAUGCCGAUGGAUGUAGAGAUGAAAAAUUUCUGAAGCUCAACCAGUCUUCUCCAUAUAAUGUGACAAGGAUGUGCAAAGCUGAUCCGACACGUUUUAGUCCCAACUUGUCAUUUAAAGGAGGAUAUGAAGUACGUUGAAGUCGCUUGGGAGUCACCCUUGGAACCACCUUGUUCGUCAUCUACAGACUGCAAGGACUGGCCCCAUUCGAUAUGUGAAGCUACUCUUGAUGGGAAGAAAAGGUGUCUUUGCACUGCAAACUCAAAAUGGGAUAGCAGGAGUUUGAAUUGUACUCAAAGUAAGCUUGCUUAUACUGUGCCAAACUAUAACUUUAUUAUACAUGGGGUAAAUGAGAGAUAAUGCAUGGAUGCAAAUGAAAUUAGUUAAAACCACUAAUCUGUCUUUGGCGUGACAACUACUUAUCUGUCUUUGUAUUGCAUACUGAUAAAACCACAUACCUUUUUGCAGAAGUUGGUCACAAAAAAAAACUGGUGAGCAAGGGAAGAUGACACUAGCUCUAAUCAUUGCAGUAACUUGCAUAAGUGUAGCUGUUCUAGCAAUUCUUUCUAGUACGUUUGCUUAUGCUUAUCUGUGGAGAAGAAGGCGCAUUAAGACAAAAGGUAACUAGCAUAUAUCCCCGACGUAAGUCUGUUUAGAGCUUCAUUAAUAUGAUCUAGGUUGAUUCUGAUGAUGUUAUCUUUGAAUUGAAUCAGAAGGCAGGGCAUAUCUUCAAAAAUGUUCAACACUUCAUCAUUUUUAUGCAAGUGAGAGAAAAGUUAAGAACUUGAUUGAAUCAGGCCGAUUUAGAGAUGAUGAUACGGAGGGCAUUGAUGUACCCUCUUUUGAUUUAGAAAGCAUACUGGUAGCUACAAAAUACUUCUCCAUUGCAAAUAAACUUGGACAAGGAGGAUUUGGUCCUGUCUACAAGGUAAUGUCCCUUUACUAUCUAUACGUCACUGUAAUAUUAACUGGUUCCUAAUGCAUUAUAGAACUAUGUUUGGAUUGUACUAUCAGGGUAAGCUUCCGGGAGGAGAAGAAAUCGCUGUAAAAAGGCUCUCAAGUUGUUCAGGCCAAGGCUUAGAGGAAUUCAAAAAUGAGGUUUUGAUAAUUGCCAAACUCCAACAUCGAAAUAUUGUUCGACUUUUGGGCUAUUGCGCUGAGGGAGAUGAAAAGAUGUUAAUCUAUGAAUACAUGGCCAAGAAAAGCUUAGACUCUUUCAUAUUUGGCUAGUCUCUACUUAUAUUCUCCAGUAUUAUUCAUUGCAGUAUAUUACAUGUAUUGAUUUAUAAAAACUGACUUAAACGUUAUGCUAUUGGAAUGAAAAAUGCCUUGAAAGAUCGGAAAGUAUGCGUAUCAUUGGACCGGAAUACACGCUUUAAUAUCAUCCUAGGCAUUGCUCGGGGGCUUCUUUAUCUUCACCAAGAUUCUAGAUUAAGGAUUAUUCAUAGAGAUCUGAAAACUAGCAACAUUCUACUGAAAGAAGAGAUGAACCCCAAAAUAUCAGACUUCGGCUUGGCAAGGAUCUUUGGAGGCAAGGAAACUUCAGCAAACACCAAUAGAGUAGUGGGAACAUAGUAAGUUUAACUAGAUUGAUGGUACGUAUGGUUUUCAUCGGAGCUAAUAUUCUUGGUCACAUCUCACAUCUCACAUCUCAAUCGAAAACCACAAAAGGGUGUGCAUUUCAACUAUUUAAGUUUUUCUCGCUGACUCCACUAUUGAUUCUUUUAUUGCAGUGGCUAUAUGUCUCUGAAGUAUAUAUACGUUGAGAUAUCAAUCCCACGUCGGGAAUAUGAGAUUUUGUCUGUGGGUUUAUAAGGGUUUGAGCCACUCCACCUAUUACCAAUUGGUUUUGGAUGUGAACCUUAAACUAUUUUAUCAUGGUAUCAGAGUGGGUUACCUACGUCCACGUGUGAAAGCCCAAAUGACCACACGGACUCCACGUCACCCAAAUAUUGUCCACGCGUACGUGUUAGGCUUGAAAAUUCGCCAUACAUGCGGGGGCGUGUUGAGAUAUCAAUCCUACAUCGGGAAUAUGAGACCUUGCAUAUGGGUUUAUAAGGGUUUGGGCCACUCUAUCCUUUCUCAAUUUGUUUUGAAUAUGAACCUCAUACUACUUUAUCAGUAUGUAUUAGAUCGAUUAUUCUCAGUAAAAUAUGAUGUUUUUAGCUUUGGUGUAGUUGUGAUUGAGAUCAUCACUAGGAAAAGGAACACAUGAUUUUAUCAGCCUGAAAGAUCUUCUUGGCUAUGUGAGUCAUAUAAACAUUCCAUAGCGGCUAGCUAGUAUUUAUAAUAUCAUAACACCUUACCUUUUGUAACUUAAUACCAGGCAUGGCAUUUGUGGAAAGAACACCCACUUUGUUAGAACACCCACUUUGUCACAGCUGCAACAAGGAGGAGUACUUCAAGUGUGUCAAUGUUGGACUCUUAUGUGUACAAGAAGAUCCAGGUGAUCGGCCAACCAUGUCACAAGUGGUUUUCAUGCUCGGAAGUGAAAGCGCAACAAUUCCAUCCCUUAAACAACCUGCAUUCGUUGUAAGGCGAUGCCCCUCAAGUUCUAGCAGGGCUUCCAACUCUUUAAGCAAGCCUGAAACAGUUUUGAACAAUGGCUUAACUGUCACCUUAGAAGAUGGUCGAUAACAAAAACAUUUGCAUCGAUCUAAUUUUGUUCUUAAUGUAAUCCCGUUAUGUUCAAGAUUGAUCUCUGAAUAUCAAUCCAUUUUAUUCUAUUUAUUCCAAGGAAAGGAUUCAACAAUCGCUUAGCCAAAAUCAGGGAGCAAAUAAUCUCAAUCUUUGAUAAUUUUGUCAUCAUAUAAUUGUUUUCAGUCCAUUCAACGAUGUAAAAUAUUACGAUGGGAUAAAAGAAUUAAGUAAAAGAAAUAGGGAUUCCCUAAUUCAAAUUACAAAUUUGUUAGGCCAUUUAGGAACUAUUCUCCUUACUGUUGAAUGUAAUAGUCUUGAUACAGAUGGAACCGUCUCUUCUAUCUUUUAAGGUACUAUUCUAUAGUCUAGUUGAUUCUUGCUUACCCACUGAUUAAUGGAAUAUAACAAUCUUUCUACAAAAAAAAAAAAGAAAAAAAAAGACCAUUGCAACAGAUUACAUCAUGAUCUUGGAUACUGUCGAAGUGUCAAGGGUAAUGUGUGGUAUGCGUUAUUCCGCAUGCAUUUGUGGACUAACAAGUCCUCACGACUAUUACAAGUAAUAGUCUUGGACAAGACGUACAGGAGUGGGCUGCUAUAAACCGACACCAAUUUGGACCAGUCGGCUGGCGCGCCGUUUUGUUAUCGUGGCGGUCUGUCGUCCACACGUCGGAGCCGUCGAGUCGGUUUGUGUGUUGUCCAUGAAAUGUGAAAAUGUGUCCGUCUGGUCAGUGAUAAAGGGUAGAACGGUAAACAACACCAAGAACUGAAGAGCUGUCUUCAGGAAAAGAAAACUGAAGAACUGGACGGAAAGCGGACAAAGGUGAUCCCAUGGGCCAUGGCCUUGCCGGUGAUUUCGAUUCAGGGUGAAAUUGCUUCAAGCUCCAAUUAUCUCGACCAAAUUUCUCAUAAAAGCAUCAACUUGGGAGCGUUCUAGGAGGAACCGAAUUCGAAGCACCCAGAAUUCGGUUUUUGAUGAAAUUAUCUUGGUUGUUGAACAAGAAGACCAGCACCGAAGCAAAUUGAAAUUGAAAUUGAGAAAAGUAAGUCUAGGGUUCCAAAUUGGCGGCGAAUUGAAUAAAAAGUUUAACUGAAUCUGUAAAUUGGGAUCAAGAUUGGGCUUUUUUAAUACGCGAAAUCAGAAAGGGAUUUGAGGUGGUAAGAUACCUUUUGGGUUCGGAAAGAGUUGGUAUUGAAGAACAGAAGAAUACGAUCAAUAAUAGCCAAGUUAAAUUCAACUGGGGAAGGAAACCAGAUGAUGAUGCAAACCAGUAUUCGCGGAUGACUUCUCGGGCCAUAUCGGGUUGGAGAGUUGGAGAAAGCUGGGAUUCGAUUAUGAAUGAAGACUGAAGAGGAUCUCCCAAUUCAAAGCUUACUCACUUUGGAGAUGAUGAUGAAUGAAUUUUUUGUUUUUUUGUUUUAAACAGAUUCUGCCAACGCGUGGAAUGGACAAUGGUAUAAGACUACUCUGCCCUCGGGUUAAACUCAGUCAAACUUAUAUUUUGUUACUCGGCUUGACGUCGGCUUCGACGCCGUCCACCGGUCCAAAUUCGUGUCGGUUUAUAGCAGCCCACUACUUCGUUUGUUCUUACUCUAGUCUAAUCUGUGAACUUACAACUUACAAGCUUCAGUUUGAGUCCGGCCAAAUUAUAUUAUUUACCAUUUUACCUUGUAGUCUAAGGCGAACCUUCUAUUCCCAACUCUUCUUCCUCUGUCUCUCUGU
Molecule: long non-coding RNA, 20263 nt
Filed under: Fragaria vesca (wild strawberry)
Lineage: Eukaryota; Viridiplantae; Streptophyta; Magnoliopsida; Rosales; Rosaceae
Description: long non-coding RNA (FVES_LNC001120)
Source: RNAcentral